RNAcentral lists this unclassified non-coding RNA (292 nucleotides) under plant metagenome. RNAcentral's name for it is "partial contains small subunit ribosomal RNA, internal transcribed spacer 1, and 5.8S ribosomal RNA". The record is from RNAcentral.
UCUCCGUAGGUGAACCUGCGGAGGGAUCAUUAUUGAAUAAACCUGAUGUGGUUGUAGCUGGCCCUUUCGGGAGCAUGUGCACACCCGUCGUCUUUAUCUUUCCACCUGUGCACCUUUUGUAGACCUGGAUGUAACACUUUCCGAGGCAACUCGGUCGGGAGGAAUGCUGUCAGCUUUCCUUGAAUGUCCAGGCCUAUGUUUUCAUAUACCCCAAAGAAUGUAACAGAAUGUAUUAUUGGGCCUUGUGCCUAUAAACUAUAUACAACUUUCAGCAACGGAUCUCUUGGCUCUC